UUUUAGAGUACUCCGAUGGUCCUCCUAAAAUCCAAGAGCCAAACAGAAAAACAAAUAGAAUUUUAAAAAAUGACAACUUCAAACUGAGAACAAAAAUUCUCUGUAAAUAUCAAUACUUCAUUGAGAACCUCAAUGUGCUGAACACACAACAGUUAAUUCAACCUCUGUGAGGAAAGAUAAAUAAUAAAAACCUCAUUCACAAAUUAGAAGGCAGGAAGAGUGCCCGAGCACAUUGGAAUGGUAUCUCUCCUGACUUCAGUGGUCUUUGGAGAAGGUCUCCUCUCAUCUGAGCAAGGUCAGGGCUGCCGACUGCCACAGGAUGCAGAUGAGAGCCAGGUUCUCUUCUGUCUUUCUCCCCAGUGUUAAACCAGCAUCACACAAGUGCAUCUUCUAGUGCACAGCUUGUGGAAAUAUGUCACAUUUCUGUGGUGCAGCAGAGUGGGAGGCAGAAAAUCUGGAUCUUAUUACCAGUUUGGCCAUGGUCUUCCUAUGUGAACAUGGUAUGGAUUCUUCUGGGCAACCUGAAGCUUCUCUGUGCAGCGAAAAAGUGGCUACAGCUGCUCAUGCUCAUGCUCACGCUCAUACCACCCAGAUGUCCUGGGAUGUGGCUGCAUGGCAGCCCAGACCUGCUCUUCAACAGCUCCUCAGCUACAGGUCCCUGAGAGACCACAUGUGA
RNAcentral lists this long non-coding RNA (676 nucleotides) under Parus major (Great Tit). RNAcentral describes it as "lncRNA (ENSPMJG00000013648.1)". Lineage: Eukaryota; Metazoa; Chordata; Aves; Passeriformes; Paridae. The record is from RNAcentral.